GAUGAACGCUGGCGGCGUACCUAAUACAUGCAAGUCGAGCGAACAGAUAAGGAGCUUGCUCCUUUGACGUUAGCGGCGGACGGGUGAGUAACACGUGGGUAACCUACCUAUAAGACUGGAAUAACUCCGGGAAACCGGGGCUAAUGCCGGAUAACAUUUAGAACCGCAUGGUUCUAAAGUGAAAGAUGGUUUUGCUAUCACUUAUAGAUGGACCCGCGCCGUAUUAGCUAGUUGGUAAGGUAACGGCUUACCAAGGCAACGAUACGUAGCCGACCUGAGAGGGUGAUCGGCCACACUGGAACUGAGACACGGUCCAGACUCCUACGGGAGGCAGCAGUAGGGAAUCUUCCGCAAUGGGCGAAAGCCUGACGGAGCAACGCCGCGUGAGUGAUGAAGGUCUUCGGAUCGUAAAACUCUGUUAUUAGGGAAGAACAAAUGUGUAAGUAACUGUGCACGUCUUGACGGUACCUAAUCAGAAAGCCACGGCUAACUACGUG
This 497-nucleotide ribosomal RNA is filed under the name uncultured bacterium. RNAcentral describes it as "partial 16S ribosomal RNA". It matches the Rfam family "Bacterial small subunit ribosomal RNA", at positions 28 to 507 of the family's 1533-position model. The record is from RNAcentral.